AAGAAUUAAAUGGAUGAAAUAUGAAGUUUUAUUAAAAGAAAAAGGGGUGAAAAGAACAAAGUUUUGUCCAUCUUUGUUCAUCAUAGCUGAAAGUUAGAGAAGAGAAAGGAGAGGAGAAAGCUCUUGAGUAUUCGGUCAUUAGGAGGAGGAAAAUUGAAGGCGGUUCGUGUGUGGAUCUCGUCAGCAUAUCGUCGCAAACAGGUGUGUAACUGACACCCUCUCAUAGACUAGAUUGGCAAAAGCCGAAAAGCCGAAAUACCGAAAAGUCGGUAUUUUGGGAAUUUUCGAGUGUGCGAAUGCUCGUAAAAUAGUUAGGUUUGUAUAUUUGGUAAUCUAAAGUAAUAAACUGCAGCACGCGCGAUUUCGUA
Molecule: long non-coding RNA, 368 nt
Organism: Gossypium arboreum
Lineage: Eukaryota; Viridiplantae; Streptophyta; Magnoliopsida; Malvales; Malvaceae
Exons: 2
Source: RefSeq, a predicted model, not a curated record